RNAcentral lists this ribosomal RNA (932 nucleotides) under uncultured archaeon. RNAcentral describes it as "bacterial SSU rRNA". It matches the Rfam family "Archaeal small subunit ribosomal RNA", at positions 1 to 921 of the family's 1478-position model. The record is from RNAcentral.
UUCCGGUUGAUCCUGCCGGACCCGACUGCUAUUUGGGUGAGAAUAAGACAUGCGAGUCGAAUGGGGUACCUAAAUUUCCCAUGGCAGACUGCUCAGUAACACAUGAUCAACUUACCCUAUAGAGAAAGAUAACCUCGGGAAACUGAGGAUAAUUUUUCAUAGUUGAAUCGGCUUGGAAAAGUUUUUCAAUUAAAGGGAUAAGAUAAAUGGUUCUUAUUUGCUAUAGGAUAGGAUCGUGGACGAUUAUGGUUGUUGGUGAGGUAACGGCUCACCAAGCCGAUAAUCGAUAGGGGCCGUGAGAGCGGGAGCCCCGAGAUGGGUACUGAGACAACGACCCAGGCCUUACGAGGCGCAGCAGGCGCGGAACCUCCGCAAUACACGAAAGUGUGACGGGGUUACCCAAAGUGUUCAAUCUUGAACUGUGGUAGGUGAGUAAUGUUCCCUACUAGGAAGGGGGGGGGCAAGGCUGGUGCCAGCCGCCGCGGUAAAACCAGCUCUUCAAGUGGUCGGGAUAAUUAUUGGGCUUAAAGAGUCCGUAGCCGGUUUAGUAAGUUCCUGGUAAAAUCGGGUAGCUUAACUAUCUGUAUGCUAGGAAUACUGCUAUACUAGAGGGCGGGAGAGGUCUGAGGUACUACAGGGGUAGGGGUGAAAUCUUAUAAUCCUUGUAGGACCACCAGUGGCGAAGGCGUCAGACUGGAACGCGCCUGACGGUGAGGGACGAAAGCCAGGGGAGCGAACCGGAUUAGAUACCCGGGUAGUCCUGGCCGUAAACGAUGCAUACUAGUGAUGGUACGGCCAUGAGCCGUAUCAGUGCCGUAGGGAAACCGUUAAGUGUGCCGCCUGGGAAGUACGGUCGCAAGGCUAAAACUUAAAGGAAUUGGGCGGGGGAGCACACAAGGGGUGAGGCUGCGUUCAAUUGGACUCACGGCGGA